GCGUCGGUGGUGCAACGGAUAGCAUACGCUCCCGGAAGGAGAUCUGGGUUCAAUUCCCGGCUGACACA
This is a non-coding RNA of Parelaphostrongylus tenuis, 68 nucleotides long. The record is from the annotation of a GenBank genome assembly. Lineage: Eukaryota; Metazoa; Nematoda; Chromadorea; Rhabditida; Metastrongylidae.